This is a long non-coding RNA of Mercurialis annua (annual mercury), 687 nucleotides long. RefSeq lists it as uncharacterized. NCBI's taxonomy places the organism in Eukaryota, Viridiplantae, Streptophyta, Magnoliopsida, Malpighiales, Euphorbiaceae. The transcript has 2 exons. The record is from RefSeq and is a predicted model, not a curated record.
UGCUUAGGGGUGAGCAAAAACCGAGUCGAACCGAAAAACCGAGUCAAACCGCACCGAACCGAACCGAACCGAAAUAUUUUUAAUUAAUAUGGAGUGGUUUGGUUUUGAAUCUUUAAAAAUUACGGUUUUCGGUUUCGGUUUGGUUUUAAGGUUCGGGCACCAAACUGAACCGAAAAAACCGAAAUUAUUAAUGAAGGUUGUUUUGGUCAUUUAGACAUAACACUAUAUAUACACUCUAUAAUACUAAACCCUAAUGUCUCAAUACUGCCGCCACCCUCACUCCUUAUACCCUCACCAAAUUCUUCUCUUUUUUCUUAUUUUCUUUCUACAUCUCCCCUAUUUUCUUUAUCAACCCUCUAAAUCAAAGCAUAAAAUCGAAUCUUCCAUUAAAAUUGUUGCUCCAUCAUGGGUCUUAUUUGUUUUCAGUCUUAUAUUUUUUUUCUAUCUCCAAUCGAUUUUUAAUAUUUAUCCGCAAGAUGUAAAACAUGGAAUCUAUAGUGAUUUUGUUGAAGAAAAACAUGAAAUUUAUAAGGAGCUAAAUCUCUAUGAUCCUUGAAGAAAAUUGGAAUUGAGCAAAGUUAAUUUUAGUUCUUUUAGUUUGUAAAGAAAAGAUGAAUGUAAAUAAAUAUUUAGAAUUAAUUAAUGUAGCCAUUUUUAUAUAUAUUAAUACGAUUUAUGAUUUAGAUA